RNAcentral lists this ribosomal RNA (405 nucleotides) under uncultured bacterium. RNAcentral's name for it is "partial 16S ribosomal RNA". It matches the Rfam family "Bacterial small subunit ribosomal RNA", at positions 28 to 526 of the family's 1533-position model. The record is from RNAcentral.
GAUGAACGCUGGCGGCGUGCCUAAUACAUGCAAGUCGAGCGAAGCGGGGACGGGUGAGUAAAACGUGGAUAACAUGCUAUAUGACUGGGAUAACUUAGGGAAAACGGAGCUAAACCGGAAACUGAUAGAUGGAUCCACGCUGCAUUAGCUAGUUGGUAAGGUAACGGCUGACCAAGGCAACGAUGCAUAGCCGACCUGAGAGGGUGAUCAGCCACACUGGAACUGAGACACGGUCCAGACUCCUACGGGAGGCAGCAGUAGGGAAUCUGCCGCAAUGGGCGAAAGCCUGACGGAGCCACGCCGCGUGAGUGAUGAAGGUCUUCGGAUCGUAAAACUCUGUUAUUAGGGAAGCGUUACCUAAUCAGAAAGCCACGGCUAACUCCGUGCCAGCAGCCGCGGUAAUAC